GAAUUUUGGACAAUGGGGGAAACCCUGAUCCAGCCAUUCCGCGUGAGUGAAGAAGGCCUUCGGGUUGUAAAGCUCUUUCAGCUGGAAAGAAACGGUGCGCUCUAACAUAGCGUGCUAAUGACGGUACCAGCAGAAGAAGCACCGGCUAACUACGUGCCAGCAGCCGCGGUAAUACGUAGGGUGCGAGCGUUAAUCGGAAUUACUGGGCGUAAAGCGUGCGCAGGCGGAUUGUUAAGCAAGAUGUGAAAUCCCCGGGCUUAACCUGGGAAUGGCAUUUUGAACUGGCAGUCUAGAGUGCGUCAGAGGGGGGUGGAAUUCCACGUGUAGCAGUGAAAUGCGUAGAUAUGUGGAGGAACACCAAUGGCGAAGGCAGCCCCCUGGGAUGACACUGACACUGAGGCACGAAAGCGUGGGGAGCAAAC
This 422-nucleotide ribosomal RNA is filed under the name uncultured bacterium. RNAcentral describes it as "bacterial SSU rRNA". It matches the Rfam family "Bacterial small subunit ribosomal RNA", at positions 359 to 773 of the family's 1533-position model. The record is from RNAcentral.